AAUGUGCAGUUUAACUUAAUUGUUGUGUUUAUAAUGGUUAGUGAGAAUCUGUUCAUUGGUAGCCAGCUCCACCUUUCACUUCUUACUAUGUGCGUAAAUGUGGUUACUAAGAUACGGUAGCGUGUUGCUAUGGACGCGUGGGCGGACAGGCAGAGGGAUCGCCGUCAAAUAAUAUUCCCGCCAACUGAAAGAACCUUGAAGAAAGACAGUGGGCUCAGGGUUUUAGGUGUGUGAGAGCAGAGGACUUAAACGAAGCCGUGCUGCUGGGGUCAAGCUGUCCAGCAUACACAGGUCUGCAAAACGGUUCUCAUCGGGCAACUUCAAAAACUGUCGCUUUGACGCAUUCAGGCUCUUGCUGUUGGCUGAAAGACAUUGGACCAUUCUGUUUCAUCCCCAGUGCUUUGGUAAUGAUUGAUUAAAUGAAUAUAUCUCAGCUUGCAGCAAGUGCUGAAAGGGAUUUGUAUUAAACAAGAUGUCUGAAGGCAUCUCUCUUCACGAAUUCCAUCUCAGAGUUUGACUUCAGCCCAUCUCUCUCCUCCGCUGGUGGUUAUGCAACAUUCCAUCAAGCCGUGGUGGUUAUGGCCACCAUGCCGCUUCACCGUUCUCACCAUAAUCGUGCAAACAAGGUAAAAUAUCAACGGAUGAUGUCACUGCAAAGGUGCAGUCUCAUUAACAAAAUGUAUUAGAGGUCAACUACAUGUGACUGAGAGGAGCUGUGUUUGAGAUUUCACGGCAGCAAUUUUAGAUUAGUAGGGGGGAAAAGUGGAAGGGUAAGAGAAGGGACAGAGAGAGAGAGAGAGAGAGAGAGUGAUGCUGUACAGAGGGCUUUCAUCUUAACUCUGUCAGUGCAGGAUGUCAUUGAGUAGAAGAACAAUCUAGAACACAAGCAGAGAGAAUGAUUCAUAGCUCUGGAGGGAGAAGGAGCCACAUCUUUUUAAGUCUGAAUGCACCUCCAUAAGAACGUGUCUCCUGUUUAAUGGGCAAAACUGUUGUACAUCAUAUAUCCAGGGAGAGGUUUUGUAACGGGAUGCCUUUGGCUGGGCAAUAAAGAAGAACUGAAGAGGGCGACAGACUAAGAGAGAACAAAGAAGAAGAAAAAAUCCUGCUGUUAGGAGGUCUGUAGUGAUGUCACACAUUUACAUCACAUCGCCAUAGCAACCUUGCAUCAGCACCAAGUAACUGAAAAAGGAGAGGAGGCCAGAGAAGGAGAGGGACAGAGAGUGAGAGACUGCAGCGGUAUGUAGUAGCUGCCAAUCUGGAGCCACUAGACUAAUGAUGAAAAUGAAACAGUGAUGAAAAUAUGUUGCUAUAAUAGAGGCAGUAGGAAUCCUAUUUGACACCUUAUAGAGGCUUUGGUACUAUAAGGUACUAUCACUAACCUACUGCAUGAAUUAUUUCCUCAUUGCUUCACCUCAGCCACAUCGUUCAAUGUUAAUACACUGGCGAUUUAUGAAUGGCCGCACCACCAUUCAAGCCUGCUGGCCAGACUAUUCCCAUGCUGAUCCAGAGGAGAUGCUGCGGAACGCCUCACAGCCUCGGAGCAGCGCAGCGCAGAGCAGAAGACUGAGUGAGAGUGAGCCUGACACCAGCAACAAAAGUCCCCCUGUUCCCACUGUUCUGUGCCCCACGUUCUAAAAAUAAACCCAACGGAGGGAAAAAAAGAGAAAGAGUACAAGGCUACAGGCUCUGGAAGCAUCACCGUCAGAGGGGAGGGGAGGAGCGGGAGAAAGGGAGAGGAGGAAGGGAGGGGGAGUUGAGGCAGUGAGUAGGUGUGUGUGGGCGGCGUUUGUAUUGCUCACUUGUGUUGCAUAGACAUCUAUGGGGCUGCUUGCACACAUGCCAAGACAAUUGGCACACUCCUGGUGACCAUGAACGCAAUCAGUGCCCUUGUGUGUGUGCGCACAGUCAAGAACUCAAAUGGAAUUACAGUUCAUAACGACAGAACGAUUUACACUGCAACACAAGACUAUAUUCAUGUGCCCUCAUUUCAUUUUCUUCCCUCAGAAAUGCAUUCUCCCAGUUAUCUGGCCACCCAUCCGUUUAAUCAUCGAUGUGUCCAUCCAUCCGUCCGUUCACUUUUGCGUCCCUCCAGCUCACCUGCCUAUUAAACAUGUAAGCCUGGUCUUUACUUCCACAUCUCUCCUCUUUCUCUUCUCUCUUUCAUUAUCACUCUUUCUCUGCCCCUCUCCUUGCCUGCCGCGUCUUCGCUUGCUCUUGCUCCAACGCAAGAGGGUUGCUAGGCGACUGAUUAGCUCUUUUCUUUCGAGAAGUGGAGUGAAGACCUUGAUCCUCUCUGUAUAAAAAUAAACACCAGAGAAAAGACAGAACAUGUGGAGAAAGAGAACAAACAUCCUUCAGCUACUAAAGGGAAAAGGGCUUCCAUUCUGUUGCCCAGAAGAGUAUUUUCUGACAUGCUCUUGACUUUUCACUCGCAACCACCUACUACAUUUUUGUAUAUUCUAUAAAUAGGGACACCUUCUCUUUUCGGGAGAAAUACGGCUUGAUUGAAAUUCAAUUCGUGUCCAUUCUGAGAUGCACUGUUGAAAAAUCUCACAUCUGACACGAGACCCAAACCCAACUAAUGCAACUCCCAAAGAGCUGUUCCUCCAGUGUGGCUUUGCCUCUGGUCGGGGCACAGCAGAAUAACAUUAGACUGAGUGACCAAGUCAUACCAUGACUCAGCCUAGAGUAGGAUGCAAAACAGCUUUGGGUGUUACCCUGUAUUAGUCUUCCAGUGCCAGAUUGAAACUUGGUC
This is a long non-coding RNA of Clupea harengus (Atlantic herring), 2755 nucleotides long. RefSeq lists it as uncharacterized. The record is from RefSeq and is a predicted model, not a curated record. NCBI's taxonomy places the organism in Eukaryota, Metazoa, Chordata, Actinopteri, Clupeiformes, Clupeidae. The transcript is spliced from 3 exons.